RNAcentral lists this ribosomal RNA (253 nucleotides) under uncultured bacterium. RNAcentral's name for it is "partial 16S ribosomal RNA". It matches the Rfam family "Bacterial small subunit ribosomal RNA", at positions 524 to 776 of the family's 1533-position model. The record is from RNAcentral.
UACGUAGGGUGCGAGCGUUAAUCGGAAUUACUGGGCGUAAAGCGUGCGCAGGCGGUUCGUUGUGUCGGCGGUGAAAGCCCCGGGCUCAACCUGGGAAUGGCCGUUGAAACUGGCGAACUGGAGUGUGGCAGAGGGGGGUGGAAUUCCGCGUGUAGCAGUGAAAUGCGUAGAGAUGCGGAGGAACACCGACGGCGAAGGCAGCCCCCUGGGCUGACACUGACGCUCAGGCACGAAAGCGUGGGGAGCAAACAGG